Molecule: unclassified non-coding RNA, 323 nt
Filed under: soil metagenome
Description: partial contains 5.8S ribosomal RNA, internal transcribed spacer 2, and large subunit ribosomal RNA
Rfam family: 5.8S ribosomal RNA (bases 1-120)
Source: RNAcentral
GAUGAAGAACGUAGCGAAAUGCGAUAAGUAGUGUGAAUUGCAGAAUUCAGUGAAUCAUCGAAUCUUUGAACGCACAUUGCGCCCCUUGGUAUUCCAUGGGGCAUGCCUGUUCGAGCGUCAUUUGUACCUUCAAGCUUUGCUUGGUGUUGGGUGUUUGUCCUGAGGGACUCGCCUUAAAGUAAUUGGCAGCCAGUGUUUGGUUUUGAAGCGCAGCACAAGUCGCGAUUCAAAGCUAUACGCCCGCUUCCACAAGCCUUUUUCACUUUUGACCUCGGAUCAGGUAGGGAUACCCGCUGAACUUAAGCAUAUCAAUAAGCGGCGGA